RNAcentral lists this unclassified non-coding RNA (1602 nucleotides) under Hevea brasiliensis (rubber tree). The record is from RNAcentral. Lineage: Eukaryota; Viridiplantae; Streptophyta; Magnoliopsida; Malpighiales; Euphorbiaceae.
GGAGGAUUAAAAAAAAGAAGGAAUAAAUGAUAAAAGGAAAAAAGAAGAGGAAAAAAAAUUAUAAUAAUACACAUUUUAGGUUGCAGCAGGCAAAAAUAAAAUUCUCAUAAUGAAGGUUCCCAUUCUCUGAUAGAUAAAUACCCUUCAGCUUCUUGCCAGCAUCUAGUUACACUUCCUUUUGGCGGCAGCACAGUGGAUCCGAUGCUCGGUGAUGAAAGCUAUAACCCUUGGAGAUGCCUUGAGCAUGAACCAUUCUACAGCAAGCAGCUACAAAAAUAUCGUGACUCGGAAUGCUCAAUUAAAUCACAUUAUAACACUGAAUUUUCUUUAUCCGAAAGGAUUUCCUCCAGAAGAAGAGAAGGUGUUCUGGGUAGGGGGUGCAGAAUAUAAUCCACCCGACUGCUGGUUCGAGUUUAGACCUCCAAAAGCAACCCCAUCAAAGCCAAAACUUGCUACUCCUGGUGGUCUCUGUGGCAUGCUACCAGCUACUUGAUGCCCCAUGUAUGAGCCUGGUGGAAUUGCUGAUGCAUAAGAUGGUGCUUGCUGAGGCAUUGCCGGAGGAUAAGUUGGGGCACCGAGGCUGGAUGUAUGCAGCAAUCCAGUUGGAGCUGCCAUGUUUGGUAGUGCACCUUGUAAUGAUGACAUUGAUGGAAACGUUGGAGCUUGUGAAGUUGGUUCAUUUAUGACAUCAAAAGGGUUUGUUGUUUUUGAUGGUUGUGGAAAAGCAUUUGUAGCCAUUGACAUGUUGUACUGCAUCGCGAAUCCAUAGCCUUGCUGUGGACCAGCAUGCCAGCCUGGAAAAGCUCCAGGAAUUGAAGGAUAGUUUACAGCAAACAAAUCCGCAGGCAGUUCUUUUCUUCCAAUAGAUUUGAUUUCAACAGAAGAAGCUUGAGAUGCAACUGCAGAAGUGGCUUCCUGAAGGACAGGGUUUACAGCUUGAGGAACUUGUGCAGUUGCUGAACUAGGAAAACCAAGAGUGCUUGGGGAAACUGAAGAAUUCCAUUGCUGAUUGCCAGAAGGUCCACCAGCAGCUGGAGUAGAAAGCUGCGAUAUAGCUUGUUGGCCAGUCACAGGAAACAAGGAAGUCUGCUGAGGUUGCAUAUUAGACCAGUGUCCACCAUGAGUAUUUGCAAAGGCAUUACCACCACUAACUGGCAGUAUUGAUGUCUGUUCAGUGGGUGCAGCUGGAGCACCACCAAGUGGAAAUGCUGCUGAGUUGUCCAUAGUUGCAGCUCCAGGAGCAAAACUACUGAAGGGGGUGAAUGGAGCUGCACUACCACCAGGACUUCCUGAAGGAGCAGUUGCAGUUGCUGGAGCUGUCAACUCUGAGAAUACAGUCUCCAGUAGAUUGGUAUUUGAAGGAGCUGGAGAUGCUUUAACCUCUGCAAAUGAAUCAAAGUUCGCCCAGUUGUCAGCAGCAGAUUUCGUUGGUUGAGCAACGGGCAUGACCGUAACAGAUUGUUGUAUUUGUGGUGCGGGUGCAGAAGCUGGGGGUUCAGGAACAUCAUCAAAAUCAAUUAAUGAGGUUUCGGUCUUGAGUUCAACAGGGUUCCCAUUGGAGGACGCCAAACUACUGGAAGAUGCAGUCCUCUGAGUCCGCAU